RNAcentral lists this ribosomal RNA (216 nucleotides) under uncultured bacterium. RNAcentral describes it as "partial 16S ribosomal RNA". It matches the Rfam family "Bacterial small subunit ribosomal RNA", at positions 524 to 736 of the family's 1533-position model. The record is from RNAcentral.
UACGUAGGCAGCGAGCGUUGUUCGGAGUUACUGGGCGUAAAGCGUGCGUAGGCGGUUGUCUUAAGUUUGUUGUGAAAUCUCCCGGCUUAACCGGGAGGGUGCGGCGAAUAACUGAGAUGCUGGAGUGCCGGAGAGGUAAGCGGAAAUUCCUGGUGUAGCGGUGAAAUGCGUAGAUUAUCAGGAGGAACACCUGCGGUGUAGACGGUUCUGGGACGG